CGGGGUGUAGCUCAGCUUGGUUUAGAGCGCUUGGUUCGGGACCAAGAGGUCGCCGGUUCAAAUCCGGCCACCCCGAC
Molecule: transfer RNA, 77 nt
Filed under: bacterium HR36
Lineage: Bacteria
Description: tRNA-Pro
Rfam family: tRNA
About the family: Transfer RNA (tRNA) molecules are approximately 80 nucleotides in length. Their secondary structure includes four short double-helical elements and three loops (D, anti-codon, and T loops).
Source: RNAcentral